CGAAGUGCGGAAUAACUCCUGGAAACAGGGGCUAAUACCGCAUGUGACGUCAGGUCCUUCGGGACUUGCCGUUAAAGGUCUUCGGAUCGCUUCGAGAUCAGCCCGCCUCCCAUUAGCUUGUUGGCAGGGUAAUGGCCUACCAAGGCGACGAUGGGUAGCUGGUCUGAGAGGAUGGUCAGCCACACUGGGACUGAGAUACGGCCCAGACUCCUACGGGAGGCAGCAGUCUAGAGGCUUCCACAAUGGACGAAAGUCAGAUGGAGCGACGCCGCGUGUGUGAUGACGCCCUUCGGGGUGUAAAGCACUGUCAGUGGGGAAGAAGGCUCGGGAGGUUAUCUUCUCGAGUUUGACGGUACCUGCAGAGGAAGCGCCGGCUAACUCCGUGCCAGCAGCCGCGGUAAUACGGUGGGCGCGAGCGUUGUUCGGAUUCAUUGGGCGUAAAGCGCGCGUAGGCGGACAAGUAAGUCUGGUGUGAAAUCGUCAUCGCUCAACGGGACGUUGUCACUGGAUACUGCUUGUCUUGAGGGCGUUAGAGGGAACCGGAAUUCCUGGUGUAGCGGUGGAAUGCGUAGAUNUCAGGAAGAACACCGAUUGCGAAGGCGGGUUCCUGGGGCGUACCUGACGCUGAGGCGCGAAAGCCAGGGGAGCGAACGGGCUUAGAUACCCCGGUAGUCCUGGCCGUAAACGAUGAGCACUAGGUGUGGGGGGGUAUCGACCCCCCCC
Molecule: ribosomal RNA, 723 nt
Filed under: uncultured organism
Description: bacterial SSU rRNA
Rfam family: Bacterial small subunit ribosomal RNA
Source: RNAcentral